GUGCUUGCCUCGGCAGCACAUACACUAAAAUUGGAACCAUACCGAGAUGAUUAGGUUGGCCCCUGACCAAAGUAUGGUAUUUAUUUAAAGAUAAGUUUGAAUUGCCC
Molecule: small nuclear RNA, 107 nt
Filed under: Piliocolobus tephrosceles (Ugandan red Colobus)
Lineage: Eukaryota; Metazoa; Chordata; Mammalia; Primates; Cercopithecidae
Source: RNAcentral